GGCAAUGUUGCCUAGUGGUUUGAGCAUUGGACUACGGCUCUGGAGACCUAGGUUCGAAUCCCCGCUCGGCCA
Phrynosoma platyrhinos (Desert horned lizard) is the source of this 72-nucleotide non-coding RNA. NCBI's taxonomy places the organism in Eukaryota, Metazoa, Chordata, Lepidosauria, Squamata, Phrynosomatidae. The record is from the annotation of a GenBank genome assembly.